RNAcentral lists this ribosomal RNA (497 nucleotides) under uncultured bacterium. Its description in RNAcentral is "partial 16S ribosomal RNA". It matches the Rfam family "Bacterial small subunit ribosomal RNA", at positions 28 to 507 of the family's 1533-position model. The record is from RNAcentral.
GAUGAACGCUGGCGGCGUGCCUAAUACAUGCAAGUCGAGCGAACAGACGAGGAGCUUGCUCCUCUGACGUUAGCGGCGGACGGGUGAGUAACACGUGGAUAACCUACCUAUAAGACUGGGAUAACUUCGGGAAACCGGAGCUAAUACCGGAUAAUAUAUUGAACCGCAUGGUUCAAUAGUGAAAGACGGUUUUGCUGUCACUUAUAGAUGGAUCCGCGCCGCAUUAGCUAGUUGGUAAGGUAACGGCUUACGAAGGCAACGAUGCGUAGCCGACCUGAGAGAGUGAUCGGCCACACGGGAACGGAGACACGGUCCAGACUCCUGCGGGAGGCAGCAGUAGGGAAUCUUCCGCAAUGGGCGAAAGCCUGACGGAGCAACGCCGCGUGAGUGAUAGAGGUCUUCGGAUCGUAAAACUCUGUUAUUAGGGAAGAACAAAUGUGUAAGUAACUAUGCACGUCUUGACGGUACCUAAUCAGAAAGCCACGGCUAACUACGUG